AAAAACGAGAAAUGAGAGAAAGUCUCAUCCGCGAGUCAGAAUCAUUAGCAGAACUGUGCCGCGUCUGCAAAUUUCAGGCAGGUUAAUUUUUGAUAGCGGAGGAAGAGCGAAGCUUCCAACCAAUUUCCUAAAUCAUCUGUAGGCAAACGGCCAGGGGCAAUCACCUGUGGAUUCCAGCCACAAGGUAUGUUUUGAGAAAGCAGUCGGAUUCCUGAAUGAUUUACAAAGUUUGCCAUCAGACAGUCUUCUGUCAGCGGCUGAGAAUGGAAAUGAGAAACUAGAAAAACACGCACAGCACCCUUUCACCUUAGUGUCAUCAACAGACUGAAACGGGAUGUGCAUUAAGAAGGCCACUGGGGAGGUCCCCAAGCUGUUGGACGCUCCUCCCUGUGAGAAAACGUCUACUUCCUCUCUCCUUCGAGCUGGGAGGUCCUGGGACUGCUUCAAGUAACAGAAUACAGCAGAACGGAUGCUAUGUGACUUCUGGAGUGAGGUCACCAGAGUCAUGCAGCUUUCUCGGUCACCUGGAACACUUGCCCUCUAAAUGUUCUCCUUCCAAACACAGCUGUCGCCCUGAGAAGUCCAAGGUCCGUGGAGAGACCACGUGUUUGUUCUCCACAGCACAGCUGGACAUGGCCUUGUCGUCACCACAGCCCAGGGGCAAGCACGUGCAUGAAGGACUGUCCAGAUGUGUGCAAAGGACUGUCCAGAUGUGUGGAGGCCGCAGAACCCCCAAGCCUGAGACUCUGGAUUUGUCCUCACUGAGGCCAUGGACUCUGUGGACAGACACAAACUCUCAUGUUGACGACCUGCCAGAAUUCUACCACAUAAAGUGUGAACUCUGCCACAUAAACCAACAAAAUGGUGGUUGUUUUAUGUCCUCUGACUUGGAAUAG
Molecule: long non-coding RNA, 896 nt
Filed under: Chinchilla lanigera (long-tailed chinchilla)
Lineage: Eukaryota; Metazoa; Chordata; Mammalia; Rodentia; Chinchillidae
Description: lncRNA (ENSCLAG00000028906.1)
Source: RNAcentral